AAAGUACUCCCUCCGUCUCAUAUUAAGUGACGAUAUGUAUCUAGACGUUUUUUGGAUAUAGAUACAUCCAUAUUUUGACAAAUUUGAGUCACUUAAUAUGGGACGGAGGGAGUAGAAA
Molecule: non-coding RNA, 118 nt
Organism: Brachypodium distachyon (stiff brome)
Lineage: Eukaryota; Viridiplantae; Streptophyta; Magnoliopsida; Poales; Poaceae
Source: Rfam